UACGUAGGGGGCAAGCGUUGUCCGGAUUUAUUGGGCGUAAAGAGCGUGUAGGCGGUUUGGUAGGUCCGUUGUGAAAUCCCGAGGCUCAACCUCGGGUCUGCAGUCGAUACGGGCAGACUAGAGUGCUGUAGGGGAGACUGGAAUUCCUGGUGUAGCGGUGAAAUGCGCAGAUAUCAGGAGGAACACCGGUGGCGAAGGCGGGUCUCUGGGCAGUAACUGACGCUGAGGAGCGAAAGCGUGGGGAGCAAACAGG
Molecule: ribosomal RNA, 253 nt
Filed under: uncultured bacterium
Lineage: Bacteria
Description: partial 16S ribosomal RNA
Rfam family: Bacterial small subunit ribosomal RNA
Source: RNAcentral